Molecule: ribosomal RNA, 255 nt
Filed under: Triticum aestivum (bread wheat)
Lineage: Eukaryota; Viridiplantae; Streptophyta; Magnoliopsida; Poales; Poaceae
Description: partial small subunit ribosomal RNA
Source: RNAcentral
AUGGGCUUGCCGAUCGUCAUUGUCGAGGAGCCGCCGAUGCUCAAGACCGCCGCGUUGGUGCCGGCACACCGGCAGAACGCCGGUCGUGUCAAGCACGGCGACGUCAGGAGGGUAAUGGCGCGGAAGCCAAAGGACGUCUGGAUUGUGAGGCUCGCCGUCAGCACAUACACCUGCUGGACGGAAAGCACUUCAAGCCCUUGGAGGUCGCCGAGGACGAUCGGCCCCAGGAUGAAUGAGCUUUUUCUCUUUUUUUGA